AGCAGCCGCGGUAAUUCCAGCUCCAAUAGCGUAUAUUAAAGUUGUUGCAGUUAAAAAGCUCGUAGUUGAACUUCGGGGUUUACCCAUUGGUCAGGCUUAAUUGUCUGUACUGGUGAGAUAAAUCUCUACCUUCUGAGGAACUUUCAUGCCAUUUAUUUGGUGUGAUGGGAAAUCAGGACUGUUACUUUGAAAAAAUUAGAGUGUUUAAAGCAGGCUAACGUCUGAAUACAUUAGCAUGGAAUAAUGAAAUAGGACGGACUGAUUCUAUUUCGUUGGUUUCUAGGAUCACCGUAAUGAUUAAUAGGGAUAGUUGGGGGCAUUAGUAUUCAAUUGUCAGAGGUGAAAUUCUUGGAUUUAUUGAAGACUAACUACUGCGAAAGCAUUUGCCAAGGAUGUUUUCAUUAAUCAAGAACGAAAGUUAGGGGAUCGAAGACGAUCAGAUACCGUCGU
This 450-nucleotide ribosomal RNA is filed under the name uncultured Glomeromycotina. RNAcentral describes it as "SSU rRNA". It matches the Rfam family "Eukaryotic small subunit ribosomal RNA", at positions 569 to 1021 of the family's 1831-position model. The record is from RNAcentral. Lineage: Eukaryota; Fungi; Glomeromycota.